AUACGGAGGAUCCGAGCGUUAUCCGGAUUUAUUGGGUUUAAAGGGUGCGCAGGCGGCCAUUUAAGUCAGCGGUUAAAUCGUGGGGCUCAACCCCAUUCUGCCGUUGAUACUGGGUGGCUUGAUUGCGGUCGAGGUUGGCGGAGUUCGUUGGGUAGCGGUGAAAUGCAUAGAUAUGACGAAGAACACCGAUUGCGUAGGCAGCUGACCAGACCGCAAAUGACGCUCAUGCACGAAAGUGCGGGGAUCGAACAGGAUUAGAUACCCUGGUAGUCCGCACAGUAAACGAUGAAUACUUGUUUUCGGCGAUAUAAUGUCGGAGGCAAAGCGAAAGCGAUAAGUAUUCCACCUGGGGAGUACGCCGGCAACGGUGAAACUCAAAGGAAUUGACGGGG
This 392-nucleotide ribosomal RNA is filed under the name uncultured bacterium. Its description in RNAcentral is "partial 16S ribosomal RNA". It matches the Rfam family "Bacterial small subunit ribosomal RNA", at positions 523 to 918 of the family's 1533-position model. The record is from RNAcentral.